AGAGUUUGAUCCUGGCUCAGAUUGAACGCUGGCGGCGUGCUUAACACAUGCAAGUCGAUCGGUAACAGGUGUAGCAAUACAUGCUGACGAGAGGCGGACGGGUGAGGAAUAUUUGGGAAUCUGCCCAUCAGCGGGGGACAACCCGGGGAAACCCGGGCUAAUACCGCAUACGCUCUAUGGAGGAAAGCCGGGGACCGCAAGGCCUGGCACUGAUGGAUGAGCCCAAAUCGGAUUAGCUAGUUGGCGGGGUAACGGCCCACCAAGGCGACGAUCCGUAGCUGGUCUGAGAGGACGAUCAGCCACACCGGAACUGAGACACGGUCCGGACUCCUACGGGAGGCAGCAGUGGGGAAUAUUGGACAAUGGGCGAAAGCCUGAUCCAGCGACGCCGCGUGGGUGAAGAAGGCCUGCGGGUUGUAAAGCCCUUUCGGUAGGGACGAAAACCUUCGACUUAACACGUCGAGGGAUUGACUUAACCUACAUAAGAAGCACCGGCUAACUCUGUGCCAGCAGCCGCGGUAAUACAGAGGGUGCGAGCGUUAAUCGGAAUUACUGGGCGUAAAGCGCACGUAGUCGGCUUUGCAAGUCGGUUGUGAAAUCCCCGGGCUCAACCUGGGAACUGCAUCCGAGACUGCAUUGCUAGAGUAUGGGAGAGGAAAGCGGAAUUUCUGGUGUAGCAGUGAAAUGCGUAGAUAUCAGAAGGAACAUCAGUGGCGAAGGCGGCUAUCUGGACCAAUACUGACGAUCAGGUGCGAAAGCGUGGGGAGCAAACAGGAUUAGAUACCCUGGUAGUCCACGCCCUAAACGAUGACAACUGGAUGUCGGGGGGGUUUGCCUUCCGGUGUCGUAGCUAACGCGUUAAGUUGUCCGCCUGGGAAGUACGGCCGCAAGGUUGAAACUCAAAUGAAUUGACGG
This 915-nucleotide ribosomal RNA is filed under the name uncultured bacterium. Its description in RNAcentral is "bacterial SSU rRNA". It matches the Rfam family "Bacterial small subunit ribosomal RNA", at positions 8 to 916 of the family's 1533-position model. The record is from RNAcentral.